Molecule: ribosomal RNA, 497 nt
Filed under: uncultured bacterium
Lineage: Bacteria
Description: partial 16S ribosomal RNA
Rfam family: Bacterial small subunit ribosomal RNA
Source: RNAcentral
GAUGAACGCUGGCGGCGUGCCUAAUACAUGCAAGUCGAGCGAACAGACGAGGAGCUUGCUCCUCUGACGUUAGCGGCGGACGGGUGAGUAACACGUGGAUAACCUACCUAUAAGACUGGGAUAACUUCGGGAAACCGGAUCUAAUACCGGAUAAUAUAUUGAACCGCAUGGUUCAAUAGUGAAAUACGGUUUUGCUGUCACUUAUAGAUGGAUCCUCGCCGCAUUAGCUAGUUGGUAAGGUAACGGAUUACCAAGGCAACGAUUCGUAGCCGACCUGAGGGGGGGAUGGGCAACCCUGGAACUGAGACACGGUCAAGACUCCUACGGGAGGCAGAAGUAGGGAAUCUUGCGCAAUGGGCGAAAGCCUGACGGAGCAACGCCGCGUGAGUGAUGAAGGUCUUCGGAUCGUAAAACUCUGUUAUUAGGGAAGAACAAAUGUGUAAGUAACUAUGCACGUCGUGACGGUACCUAAUCAGAAAGCCACGGCUAACUACGUG